RNAcentral lists this ribosomal RNA (1470 nucleotides) under Staphylococcus aureus C0630. RNAcentral's name for it is "bacterial LSU rRNA". It matches the Rfam family "Bacterial large subunit ribosomal RNA", at positions 1452 to 2925 of the family's 2925-position model. Lineage: Bacteria; Bacillati; Bacillota; Bacilli; Caryophanales; Staphylococcaceae. The record is from RNAcentral.
UUUUAAUCGAUGGGGGGACGCAGUAGGAUAGGCGAAGCGUGCGAUUGGAUUGCACGUCUAAGCAGUAAGGCUGAGUAUUAGGCAAAUCCGGUACUGGUUGAGGCUGAGCUGUGAUGGGGAGAAGACAUUGUGUCUUCGAGUCGUUGAUUUCACACUGCCGAGAAAAGCCUCUAGAUAGAAAAUAGGUGCCCGUACCGCAAACCGACACAGGUAGUCAAGAUGAGAAUUCUAAGGUGAGCGAGCGAACUCUCGUUAAGGAACUCGGCAAAAUGACCCCGUAACUUCGGGAGAAGGGGUGCUCUUUAGGGUUAACGCCCAGAAGAGCCGCAGUGAAUAGGCCCAAGCGACUGUUUAUCAAAAACACAGGUCUCUGCUAAACCGUAAGGUGAUGUAUAGGGGCUGACGCCUGCCCGGUGCUGGAAGGUUAAGAGGAGUGGUUAGCUUCUGCGAAGCUACGAAUCGAAGCCCCAGUAAACGGCGGCCGUAACUAUAACGGUCCUAAGGUAGCGAAAUUCCUUGUCGGGUAAGUUCCGACCCGCACGAAAGGCGUAACGAUUUGGGCACUGUCUCAACGAGAGACUCGGUGAAAUCAUAGUACCUGUGAAGAUGCAGGUUACCCGCGACAGGACGGAAAGACCCCGUGGAGCUUUACUGUAGCCUGAUAUUGAAAUUCGGCACAGCUUGUACAGGAUAGGUAGGAGCCUUUGAAACGUGAGCGCUAGCUUACGUGGAGGCGCUGGUGGGAUACUACCCUAGCUGUGUUGGCUUUCUAACCCGCACCACUUAUCGUGGUGGGAGACAGUGUCAGGCGGGCAGUUUGACUGGGGCGGUCGCCUCCUAAAAGGUAACGGAGGCGCUCAAAGGUUCCCUCAGAAUGGUUGGAAAUCAUUCAUAGAGUGUAAAGGCAUAAGGGAGCUUGACUGCGAGACCUACAAGUCGAGCAGGGUCGAAAGACGGACUUAGUGAUCCGGUGGUUCCGCAUGGAAGGGCCAUCGCUCAACGGAUAAAAGCUACCCCGGGGAUAACAGGCUUAUCUCCCCCAAGAGUUCACAUCGACGGGGAGGUUUGGCACCUCGAUGUCGGCUCAUCGCAUCCUGGGGCUGUAGUCGGUCCCAAGGGUUGGGCUGUUCGCCCAUUAAAGCGGUACGCGAGCUGGGUUCAGAACGUCGUGAGACAGUUCGGUCCCUAUCCGUCGUGGGCGUAGGAAAUUUGAGAGGAGCUGUCCUUAGUACGAGAGGACUGGGAUGGACAUACCUCUGGUGUACCAGUUGUCGUGCCAACGGCAUAGCUGGGUAGCUAUGUGUGGACGGGAUAAGUGCUGAAAGCAUCUAAGCAUGAAGCCCCCCUCAAGAUGAGAUUUCCCAACUUCGGUUAUAAGAUCCCUCAAAGAUGAUGAGGUUAAUAGGUUCGAGGUGGAAGCAUGGUGACAUGUGGAGCUGACGAAUACUAAUCGAUCGAAGACUUAAUCAA